CAAUGCGUGCUAUGGGUCCUUUUUUCUAACACUUGCAGAAGAUUUCAGCCCCGGCCACGAUGUUUGCUGUCAGCGGAUGGAAAAGUCUUCCUCAAUUGAUGGUUCAUACCCCAUUCUUCUGAAGUGCUGGUUAUGUUCAAAACUCUGCCAGAAAAGGCAGCUUUUAAAGCCUUAAAGCGAACUCUACAACUGAUAGCUCCUCUGCAUGAUAUCGUGGCCUACCUUGUCAGUUUUGCUAAGCUUGGCAAUUGUCCAGCAUGUUUUGAAUUUCCUCGAAGUCCCAACCCUUUGAGAGGUGACUGGGGAGGAACUGAGGGCAUUGAAGAACAUUUUUGGCAGCUGGAAAUGUUCCUGCCUACCAGUCUGUCACAGACGGCAUGUGCCAUGGGCUACCAGCACUGAGCAACUCUCUCAGGAAGAGCAUUUUUGCCUCACAGCUCAGCCUGCCCCAGCCACUGGAUCCACGGAGCCUCCAGGCAUUUGAGCUGUUUCCUUGGAGAGCAUUUCUGGAAGAUGGAGGACCAUUCCCAGUUAUGAGUAACAGCCCAGAUACCCUAGAAUAUAAUAUGCAGGUAGGAUAGGUCUUCUCCAUUGUUGCAGAGAGAACUGAGCGCAGACUGCAAAGAUGGUUGCCAUUGGGUUCACAGGUCAGAUCCUCCUACUCUCACCCACGAUGAAUAAUGUGUGAGAUAAGCAGGGUGUUUGAUUUUGAGGC
RNAcentral lists this long non-coding RNA (715 nucleotides) under Homo sapiens (human). RNAcentral's name for it is "non-protein coding lnc-CEP57L1-4:3". Lineage: Eukaryota; Metazoa; Chordata; Mammalia; Primates; Hominidae. The record is from RNAcentral.